CAGCAGCCGCGGGAAUACGGAGGGUGCAAGCGUUAAUCGGAAUUACUGGGCGUAAAGCGCACGCAGGCGGUCUGACAAGUCAGAUGUGAAAUCCCCGGGCUUAACCUGGGAACUGCAUUUGAAACUGUCAGGCUGGAGUCUUGUAGAGGGGGGUAGAAUUCCAGGUGUAGCGGUGAAAUGCGUAGAGAUCUGGAGGAAUACCGAUGGCGAAGGCAGCCAUCUGGCCUAAUACUGACGCUGAGGUACGAAAGCAUGGGGAGCAAACAGGAUUAGAGACCCCUGUAGUCCCUGUCUCUUAUAC
This 301-nucleotide ribosomal RNA is filed under the name uncultured bacterium. RNAcentral's name for it is "partial 16S ribosomal RNA". It matches the Rfam family "Bacterial small subunit ribosomal RNA", at positions 509 to 807 of the family's 1533-position model. The record is from RNAcentral.